This is a long non-coding RNA of Carcharodon carcharias (great white shark), 200 nucleotides long. RefSeq lists it as uncharacterized. The transcript is spliced from 3 exons. The record is from RefSeq and is a predicted model, not a curated record. Lineage: Eukaryota; Metazoa; Chordata; Chondrichthyes; Lamniformes; Lamnidae.
GGAGUCAGAGAUUCUACAUCUGCUGCAAGUGAAAGAACAAGAAUGGAAAAGCUUCUGUCAUUCCUUGAAAACUUCAACCAGGUCGCAGGUCCCAAUCAAGCAGAAGCAUGGCUGAACUGGUGCCAAAGAUUAACCAGAUAUCACACUGCAUUGUGGCCUCGCUACAAAGCUAAGCUGUGAGCAGAUGGAGCAAGAGGAGG